Molecule: non-coding RNA, 223 nt
Filed under: Stenotrophomonas sp.
Lineage: Bacteria; Pseudomonadati; Pseudomonadota; Gammaproteobacteria; Lysobacterales; Lysobacteraceae
Source: RNAcentral
ACUAUCUUGUGUCCCGUCGGUUCUGGUGGGUUGCUCCCCACCGGAUUGAAAGGGAAGCCGGUGACGCCUUGGAUGGCCAUUCCGGCACUGCCCCGCAGCGGUAAUUGGGAACGAUCCCGCCACCAAGCACUGAGGCCCGAUGCCUUGGGAAGCGGCGGAGUAGGAGGAGGCCCCCGCCUCCAUGCCCAUGAGUCCGAAGACCUGCCGACGGCCGCGCGAAGCA